UACGGGGGGGGCAAGCGUUGUUCGGAAUUACUGGGCGUAAAGCGCGUGUAGGCGGCUAAGUGUGUCGGGCGUGAAAUCCCACGGCUCAACCGUGGAAGUGCACCCGAAACUACGUAGCUAGAGUCCUGGAGAGGAAGGUGGAAUGCUUGGUGUAGAGGUGAAAUUCGUAGAUAUCAAGCGGAACACCGGUGGCGAAGGCGGCCUUCUGGACAGUGACUGGCGCUGAGACGCGAAAGCGUGGGGAGCAAACAGG
Molecule: ribosomal RNA, 253 nt
Filed under: uncultured bacterium
Lineage: Bacteria
Description: partial 16S ribosomal RNA
Rfam family: Bacterial small subunit ribosomal RNA
Source: RNAcentral